AGCGAACGUUUGCGGCGGGCCUAACACAUGCAAGUCGAACGCACUAGCAAUAGUGAGUGGCGCACGGGUGCGUAACACGUGGGUAAUCAACCCUUCAGCCUGGGAUAACGACUCGAAAGGGUCGCUAAUACCGGAUACGGCGCGAGAGGCUUCGGCUUCUCACGAGAAAGCCACGCAAGGGGCACUGAAGGACGAGCCUGCGGCCCAUCAGCUAGUUGGUGAGGUAAGAGCUCACCAAGGCUAAGACGGGUAGCUGGUCUGAGAGGAUGAUCAGCCACACUGGAACUGAGACACGGUCCAGACUCCUACGGGAGGCAGCAGUGGGGAAUAUUGCGCAAUGGGCGAAAGCCUGACGCAGCCACGCCGCGUGAGCGAUGAAGGCCUUCGGGUCGUAAAGCGUCUGUGGGAGGAGACGAAGAAAGACCUGUGAGAGCAGGCCUUGACGGUAGUCUCCUUA
This 457-nucleotide ribosomal RNA is filed under the name uncultured bacterium. RNAcentral describes it as "bacterial SSU rRNA". It matches the Rfam family "Bacterial small subunit ribosomal RNA", at positions 29 to 486 of the family's 1533-position model. The record is from RNAcentral.